Molecule: ribosomal RNA, 235 nt
Filed under: uncultured bacterium
Lineage: Bacteria
Description: partial 16S ribosomal RNA
Rfam family: Bacterial small subunit ribosomal RNA
Source: RNAcentral
AAUGAACGUUGGCGGCGUGGAUUAGGCAUGCAAGUCGAACGAUAUCUGUAGCAAUACAGUGAAAGUGGCGAAAGGGAGAGUAAUACGUAGGUACCUGCCCUCGGGUCUGGGAUAGCUGCGGGAAACUGCAAUUAAUACCGGAUGACGUCUCUGGACCAAAGGUGUGAUUCCGCCAGAGGAUGGGCCUGCGUCCUAUCAGCUAGUUGGUGUGGUAAUGGCGCACCAAGGCUAAGAC